Molecule: transfer RNA, 72 nt
Filed under: Ictidomys tridecemlineatus (thirteen-lined ground squirrel)
Lineage: Eukaryota; Metazoa; Chordata; Mammalia; Rodentia; Sciuridae
Description: Spermophilus tridecemlineatus (thirteen-lined ground squirrel) tRNA
Rfam family: tRNA
About the family: Transfer RNA (tRNA) molecules are approximately 80 nucleotides in length.
Source: Rfam by way of RNAcentral
AGGGUUGUGGCUCAGUAGUAGAGCGCUUGCCUAGGAUGUUUGAGGCACUGGGUUCGAUCCCCAGCACCACAU